AUAACUAUCAUGCAGUGCUAUACAUAAUUAUAAAUCUAAUAAAUUUAAGUGCUUAUCUAAUCUGUUUUUAAACAUUGUCAAACUAGUGCUAUUUACAACCCUCUCUGGCAAUGCAUUCCAGGGGCCGUACUUAUAAAACUCCACAAAGAUGCCGUCUUAGUUAGGAAAAGUACUUAACCUACAAGACUUAAGCGCUAAGAAUCUUUCCUAGCAGGAUGCUUUGUUAAGUAACCGUCUUUAGGCGCUUACAUAGCUAACCGCUAACAUGAGCAGACGUUAUGUAAUGUUUUUUGAGGAAUUUCGCAAGAAACGGGUGAAAAUACGUAAAAAUUAUAUUAUAAAUAAAAAACAUAUUUAUCUAGUUAGUUUUCAAUAAUCACCUCUUCAUUUUAACCUUGAUAAUUGAAGGUAUAAAUUUACCACCACUGUUGUCAUCUUGUCAAAACAACAAUCAUUUGGCGCCAACUUCGACUGCACACCAUGGCUACUCAAGAGACUCAAGACAAGAAGAGGAACAGGAAGACGAACUGGACGCCUUCAUCUGGCCCACCUAUACAAAAUUCUCGCAAAAAUACUCCGGAGCGACUUCUCCACAGCUGGCUGCUCUAAGGAAGCCAGAAAUGCUGCUUGGAGGAGCAAUAGUGCGGAGGUGUCUGCCGUGUCAGACAUUCUCCGCACUAGGGAGUGCCAGAAACAUUGGCAUAUUAUAAAAUCUGAGGCAAGACGGAACACUCGCAAGCAGAGAGAAGCCAUGACUGCCACAGAUGGUGGACCUCCUGCCAACCCUCCUCUCUCCCAGCACAAUGAGUUAAUCUUUUAGAUUUUGGACCCUAAGAAUGUCUCUAUUCAUGGGUGUACCAAUAAGGCAAGCAUCAUUGAAUGCACCUUCCUUAACAAAGGAUAAGCCACUUGUAGAUAUAGCAAUAUUAGGCCAUAAUGUUGUCUCAAAUGUCUGCAAUCCAAAAUACUCGUUCCCAUUUAGUUUACAACUUAGAGUUAAACACAAUAGUAAAUUUGUUAUCUAGUGUCGAGAAAAUUUCAUUUUUUUUAACCAAACAGCUAAAACAGUAAUAAGAAAAGAAAAAAAAACUAAUAAAGUUAACUUAAUUCCUAUCACUUCUUCCCCCUCAUAAAUAUGGUGUUGUAGUGGGUGAAUGUGUUAAUGAUAACAAGUCUUAGGGAUUUACAGUUUCUUAGACAUGGGCUUCCUUCAAACAGAAUAGGAUUUAAGUCAAACACAUUGUACCCUUAGCUAGAUUUACUGGUUUCUGUUACUUUUGUCCUUAGCAAUAAAACCAAAAUCAUUUUCAGCUUAGUUUCUGAAGUUAGAACUAAUGAUGCCAGCAGUGUGCAGGCAGCAGAUGAUGCUGGGGAAGUGGCAGAGGCAUCCCAACAGAGAGAAGUGGUGACUGAGGCAGUGGGUGUUGAGGAGGAGGUACAGGUUAAGUACAUGUACUACACACAAAAACUAGAGUACCUGAAACAAACAAAUAAAAAAUAGUAAUAAAGAUAUAAAUAAUGUACUAUUUGUUUUUGUUUGUAACCACUCAACCAAAUAUUAGUGUUAACACAAAAUUAACUGCAGUUUCUAUAUGCUCAACCUACAAUCUACUUACUUCAGGUAUGGGAGAGAGA
Portunus trituberculatus (swimming crab) is the source of this 1635-nucleotide long non-coding RNA. RefSeq lists it as uncharacterized. The transcript is spliced from 2 exons. The record is from RefSeq and is a predicted model, not a curated record. NCBI's taxonomy places the organism in Eukaryota, Metazoa, Arthropoda, Malacostraca, Decapoda, Portunidae.